Molecule: ribosomal RNA, 468 nt
Filed under: uncultured bacterium
Lineage: Bacteria
Description: partial 16S ribosomal RNA
Rfam family: Bacterial small subunit ribosomal RNA
Source: RNAcentral
GAUGAACGCUGGCGGCGUGCUUAACACAUGCAAGUCGAACGGAAAGGCCCAAGCUUGCUUGGGUACUCGAGUGGCGAACGGGUGAGUAACACGUGGGUGAUCUGCCCUGCACUUCGGGAUAAGCCUGGGAAACUGGGUCUAAUACCGGAUAGGACGAUGGUUUGGAUGCCAUUGUGGAAAGUUUUUUCGGUGUGGGAUGAGCUCGCGGCCUAUCAGCUUGUUGGUGGGGUAAUGGCCUACCAAGGCGUCGACGGGUAGCCGGCCUGAGAGGGUGUACGGCCACAGUGGGACUGAGAUACGGCCCAGACUCCGACGGGAGGCAGCAGUGGGGAAUAUUGCACAAUGGGCGCAAGCCUGAGGCAGCGACGCCGCGUGGGGGAUGACGGCCUUCGGGUUGUAAACUCCUUUCGCUAGGGACGAAGCGUUUUUGUGACGGUACCUGGAGAAGAAGCACCGGCUAACUACGUG